Lolium rigidum is the source of this 1105-nucleotide RNA transcript. RefSeq lists it as uncharacterized. NCBI's taxonomy places the organism in Eukaryota, Viridiplantae, Streptophyta, Magnoliopsida, Poales, Poaceae. The transcript has 4 exons. The record is from RefSeq and is a predicted model, not a curated record.
UGUUCCUCGUGAGCGCACGUCGCUGGACUGCGUGAGCUCGUGCAGGUCACAACUCCUGGAAGCGGGGCGGCGGAGGUGGGAGGCCCUACGAACGCACGUCAUCCUCCUCCCGACUCCCAGGAACAAGUGACGCCGGCGAGGACGCUCCGCUCGUGCGGAUUGGCUGUGUCACAAGCCUCCUCGAGCGGCCCAAGUGCGGCUUGCUGUGUCGAAGCCCCUCUCCACCUCGCUCAGGACUGGUGGGUGUGCCUGUUUACCGACAAGGAACAGAGGCCAACCUACAGAAAUAACCAAGAAUGCAGUGGAAGAGGAAAAUAAAUAAUAUUGAUGUGAAUGUAGUGGAUACUGCUGGAAGAUUGCAGAAUAUACACAUUGGACGCCAGAAAUCAACAAAAAGAGUGAGAUUAUGAAAUACCUUCAGAUAAAGUGGUCAAAUGUGAUUGUCUAUUUGCAGCACGCCGAGGAUUGGUAUCUCCAGGAUCUAUUAACCAGAUUGGAUAUGUAAUAUAGAUGAGGAGAAUGAUGUUGUAUUAGGCCUAAGAAUUGUAUUGAUUAGUACGAAACCUGAAUUUUCGUUUUGCAUCUUCUGGGUGCGGUCGUGGUCUGGACUUGGCGAUGCAGGGUUGUCGCGGCAGGGAUGCGUUGAUGUGUGGAGGCUCGCGUGCUGGACGAUCUCCUGCAGGUGGCUGUGUAUGCCGUCGUGGUAUGCAGUCGUCGUCUGGACCUGCGUGAUGCAGGUUUGGCACGGCUGGGAUGCGAUGAUGUGUGGAUCUGGCGUGGGAGGAUGGCCUGGUGUAGUCUGUUUGAGGUAGGAGAUUAUGGGUAAGUUAAGUUUGUUCCGGAAUUGGUGGCUGGAGAUUAUGCGUUUGAGGUAGGAGAUUAUGGAAUAUACACAUUGGACGCCGUAAAUCAACAAAAAGAGUGAGAUUAUGAAAUACCUUCGGAUAAAGUGGUCAAAUGUGAUUGUCUAUUUGCAGCACGCCGAGGAUUGGUAUCUCCAGGAUCUAUUAACCAGAUUGGAUAUGUAAUAUAGAUGAGGAGAAUGAUGUUGUAUUAGGCCUAAGAAUUGUAUUGAUUAGUACGAAACCUGAAUUUUCGUUUUGCA